RNAcentral lists this ribosomal RNA (233 nucleotides) under uncultured bacterium. Its description in RNAcentral is "partial 16S ribosomal RNA". It matches the Rfam family "Bacterial small subunit ribosomal RNA", at positions 103 to 334 of the family's 1533-position model. The record is from RNAcentral.
CGGGUAGCGGAACACGUACACAACCUUCCUUUAAGUGGGGGAUAGCCCAGAGAAAUUUGGAUUAAUACCCCGUAAGAUUAUGAGAUGGCAUCAUUUUAUAAUUAAAGCUCCGGCGCUUGGAGAUGGGUGUGCGGCUGAUUAGGUAGUUGGUGUGGGUAAUGGCCCACCAAGCCUUCGAUCAGUAACUGGUGUGAGAGCACGACCAGUCACACGGGCACUGAGACACGGGCCCG